CGACCGGGUGAGUAACACGUGACUAACCUACCCUAAAGUGGGGAAUAACCUCGGGAAACCGGGGCUAAUACCGCAUAACAUUGCGGGGCUGAAAUGCCCUGUAUUCAAAGGAGCAAUUCGCUUUAGGAGGGGGUCGCGGUUGAUUAGCUAGUUGGUGAGGUAAUGGCUCACCAAGGCGAUGAUCAAUAGCCGGCCUGAGAGGGCGCACGGCCACACUGGAACUGAAACACGGUCCAG
This 237-nucleotide ribosomal RNA is filed under the name uncultured bacterium. RNAcentral's name for it is "partial 16S ribosomal RNA". It matches the Rfam family "Bacterial small subunit ribosomal RNA", at positions 99 to 334 of the family's 1533-position model. The record is from RNAcentral.